GACGAACGCUGGCGGCGUGCCUAAUACAUGCAAGUAGAACGCUGAAGGCGGAGCUUGCUUCUCUGGAUGAGUUGCGAACGGGUGAGUAACGCGUAGGUAACCUGCCUGGUAGCGGGGGAUAACUAUUGGAAACGAUAGCUAAUACCGCAUAAGAGUACCUGUUGCAUGACAUUUGCUUAAAAGGUGCAAUUGCAUCACUACCAGAUGGACCUGCGUUGUAUUAGCUAGUUGGUGAGGUAAAGGCUCACAAAGGCAACGAUACAUAGCCGACCUGGGAGGGGCGGCUGCCACACUUGGGAUGAGAAACGGCCCCAACUCGUACGGGAGGCAGCAGUAGGGAAUCUGCGGCGAUGGACGGAAGACUGACCGAGCAACGCCGCGAGAGUGAAGAAGGAUCUCGGAUCGUAAAGCUCUGUUGUAAGGGAAGAACGAGGGUGUGAGUUGAGAGGUCACACGGGUACGGUAUCUUACCAGAGAGGGACGGCUAACUACGUG
This 495-nucleotide ribosomal RNA is filed under the name uncultured bacterium. RNAcentral describes it as "partial 16S ribosomal RNA". It matches the Rfam family "Bacterial small subunit ribosomal RNA", at positions 28 to 507 of the family's 1533-position model. The record is from RNAcentral.